Molecule: ribosomal RNA, 402 nt
Filed under: uncultured bacterium
Lineage: Bacteria
Also listed under: 1 other name
Description: bacterial SSU rRNA
Rfam family: Bacterial small subunit ribosomal RNA
Source: RNAcentral
UGGGGAAUAUUGGACAAUGGGCGAAAGCCUGAUCCAGCAAUGCCGCGUGAGUGAUGAAGGCCUUAGGGUUGUAAAGCUCUUUUACCAGGGAUGAUAAUGACAGUACCUGGAGAAUAAGCUCCGGCUAACUCCGUGCCAGCAGCCGCGGUAAUACGGAGGGAGCUAGCGUUGUUCGGAAUUACUGGGCGUAAAGCGCACGUAGGCGGCGACUCAAGUCAGAGGUGAAAGCCCGGGGCUCAACCCCGGAACUGCCUUUGAAACUAGGUUGCUAGAAUCUUGGAGAGGUCAGUGGAAUUCCGAGUGUAGAGGUGAAAUUCGUAGAUAUUCGGAAGAACACCAGUGGCGAAGGCGACUGACUGGACAAGUAUUGACGCUGAGGUGCGAAAGCGUGGGGAGCAAACA